AGAUGAAGAGGUCUGGAAAGGCCCGCCAUAGGAGGUAACAGCCCUGUAGUCAAAACUUCGUUCUCUCCUGAGUGGAUCCUGAGUACGGCGGAACACGUGAAAUUCCGUCGGAAUCCGGGAGGACCAUCUCCCAAGGCUAAAUACUCCCUAGUGACCGAUAGUGAACCAGUACCGUGAGGGAAAGGUGAAAAGCACCCCGGAAGGGGAGUGAAAGAGAUCCUGAAACCGUGUGCCUACAAGUAGUCAGAGCCCGUUAACGGGUGAUGGCGUGCCUUUUGUAGAAUGAACCGGCGAGUUACGAUCCCGUGCAAGGUUAAGUUUGAAAAGACGGAGCCGCAGCGAAAGCGAGUCUGAAUAGGGCGCAUGAGUACGUGGUCGUAGACCCGAAACCAGGUGAUCUACCCAUGUCCAGGGUGAAGUUCAGGUAACACUGAAUGGAGGCCCGAACCCACGCACGUUGAAAAGUGCGGGGAUGAGGUGUGGGUAGGGGUGAAAUGCCAAUCGAACCUGGAGAUAGCUGGUUCUCUCCGAAAUAGCUUUAGGGCUAGCCUCAAGGUAAGAGUCUUGGAGGUAGAGCACUGAUUGGACU
Molecule: ribosomal RNA, 589 nt
Filed under: Sanguibacteroides justesenii
Lineage: Bacteria; Pseudomonadati; Bacteroidota; Bacteroidia; Bacteroidales; Porphyromonadaceae
Description: bacterial LSU rRNA
Rfam family: Bacterial large subunit ribosomal RNA
Source: RNAcentral